AACUUAGGCUGACCAAAGACCUUCAAAGUCCUAAGCGGAGGUUAAAUCCCUUCAGUUUCUGUAGGACUUG
Molecule: transfer RNA, 70 nt
Filed under: Odorrana versabilis (bamboo leaf odorous frog)
Lineage: Eukaryota; Metazoa; Chordata; Amphibia; Anura; Ranidae
Description: tRNA-Trp
Source: RNAcentral